UCUCUAGCUGUUUGCUGCAUUUUAUUACAGUAGUUACAGCCAAAUAUAUGCUACAGUAGCUUCACAACCGAUUAAAUGCACAUCGGAAGCAAAACCUUAUUAUAAAUACAUUUGUUAACCUUUAAAGUCAAUCCGUUGAGGCUUUUUUUUUUUUUUAAAGUAAGUCAAGUUAUAAACCGUUUCUCAUUUGCUGCUAAGCUGCACAGUCACAGAAAGGAUACAACAUCAGCAUCUGUCUGAGGUCCACAAAGAGGAAAUGACUGACAUCUGCAAAGGUCAGAAGGGUGGCACUUCCUUCAUAAGGAUGGCCUUUACUCAACUGUCCAGGCUCUAUUACUCAAAGGAGCUGGGAAGUGCAAAUGUGGAAACUUUGCUGUCACCGUGGGCACCGGUGCCACAUUAAUCUCUUCUGCAUUUGGGAGGAAGCACCCUUCAGAUAUCCUGAUGACUUGACGGCUCGAGUGCCAUGAUGGAGGGAGGGGGUUCCAGCUGAAGGCUGUUGCUGUCUCUUGGGUCAACAUGGCCAUCCUUGCAAAGAUGCUGGUGUUUGUCCAGGUGGAAAAUUUGCUGUCACAGUGGGCACCGGUGCCACAUUAAUCUCUUCUGCAUUUGGGAGGAAGCACCCUUCCUGAAAACAUCAUGGUGACUUGACAGCUUGAGUGCCAUGAUGGAGGGAGGGGGUUCCAGCAGAAGGCUGUUGCUGUCUCUUGGGUCAACAUGUCCAUCCUUGCAAAGAUGCUGGUGUUUGUCCCGCAGGGGCUGCCUCUCAGGUCGUGAUGUGGACACGGUGUCUCGACAAGGUUCCUGGUUCUGAGAGUGGUGGUUGAAGCUUCUCUGGACAUUUGGACUGAGCUGCAAAUGAGUUGCCGGUUCUGAGUGGGGAUUGAAACUUCUGUGGAAACCUGGACUGUGAUACAGGAACCGAUGCAUCACUUGGCUUCGCUGGGCUGUUGGAACGGCGAUGUUGGGAUUGGGCUUCUGGUAAUGAUGACCACGUCAAUCAGAAGAUGUAUUUCUCAGCUGGUGUUUCACCUUCUGUGGACCCAGUCUGACACUUAGCACCUCAUGCGAGGGGAACAGCUGUGUGCUGAUGGAGCAGGAAGUCUUGCCAAGUGUCGGAACUGUUUAUCAUCUUUUUGUGUAUAUCCAAAAAUAUAUAUAUUUUUUUUUUUUUGGGACAAGAGAAUCACCAUGUUUUGGCCUUUUAAAGG
Long non-coding RNA from Cololabis saira (Pacific saury), 1211 nucleotides. RefSeq lists it as uncharacterized. NCBI's taxonomy places the organism in Eukaryota, Metazoa, Chordata, Actinopteri, Beloniformes, Belonidae. The transcript has 16 exons. The record is from RefSeq and is a predicted model, not a curated record.